Molecule: ribosomal RNA, 623 nt
Filed under: uncultured fungus
Lineage: Eukaryota; Fungi
Description: eukaryotic LSU rRNA
Rfam family: 5.8S ribosomal RNA (bases 100-253)
Source: RNAcentral
CUGAUGGGCAACGAAGGCCCUCGUCUAUGAAUAUUUUUACAAACGCUCAAAGUAUGACAGAAUGUAUAUCAUAUUGCGUCUGAUAAACGUGACAAAUACAACUUUCAACAACGGAUCUCUUGGCUCUCGCAUCGAUGAAGAACGCAGCGAAAUGCGAUAAGUAAUGUGAAUUGCAGAAUUCAGUGAAUCAUCGAAUCUUUGAACGCACCUUGCGCUCCUUGGUAUUCCGAGGAGCAUGCCUGUUUGAGUGUCAUGAAAUUCUCAACUGCCCCAGGCUUUGUGGCCUGCGGGUGAAGUUGGACUUGGAGGUAUGCUGGCGCAUGAAUGGGCUUUUGUGCCCCGUCUCGCUUGUUGGCUCCUCUCGAAUGCAUGAGCUUUCCAAUCCUUGGCAAAGUAUCGUCGAUGUGAUAAUUGUCUACGUCGCCUGAGAAAGCCGAAAAGGGGAAAUCUUUGAUCACGCUGGGGUGACCUGCGUCUGACAAAUUCGACCUCAAAUCAGGUAGGACUACCCGCUGAACUUAAGCAUAUCAAUAAGCGGAGGAAAAGAAACUAACAAGGAUUCCCCUAGUAACUGCGAGUGAAGCGGGAAAAGCUCAAAUUUAAAAUCUGGCGGCCUCCGGUCG